RNAcentral lists this unclassified non-coding RNA (417 nucleotides) under Metalasia densa. RNAcentral's name for it is "partial external transcribed spacer". Lineage: Eukaryota; Viridiplantae; Streptophyta; Magnoliopsida; Asterales; Asteraceae. The record is from RNAcentral.
CGUAAAGGUGCCAGAGUGGUGUUUGGUUUGUUACGGGUGGUUGGCUCUUUGCUUGCGCAACAACUUCCACCUGGCAUACCUCUUCAGUUUUUGCGUCAAUGCUUGUAUCGCAUUGAAUGCAACGUGGGUUUCUUGUGUUGCAUACCAAAAUGAUGGUAUCGUUUGAUGAAUUGAUGUGUUAUUCGUCUUGUGUCGCACACGCGAUGUGAGACGAACUUUGAAGCGGUCUUUGUGAUCCACUCUUUUGAUGCACAUGCGUUGAUGGUGUGGCCCAUUAAGUGUCGCUUGGUCUCAUGGAUAUGGAACCUGGUUUGGGCAUGGGAUAAGAUCCUUGUUUGCCCUUCUUUAGCUUUUCUAAUACGAUUGACUAUCACGUAUGGCUCGUCUCAGCGUGUUAGUCUAUGUCGAAGAUGAAUG